Long non-coding RNA from Uranotaenia lowii, 629 nucleotides. RefSeq lists it as uncharacterized. NCBI's taxonomy places the organism in Eukaryota, Metazoa, Arthropoda, Insecta, Diptera, Culicidae. The record is from RefSeq and is a predicted model, not a curated record. The transcript has 2 exons.
ACAUUUGUAUCAUGCCAACACCGCUCGGUCGCGUUUAUUUCUUUAAAAAUAAUCUCGUGAUUAGUGCUAUGUUUUCGAAAACGGAUUUUCCGGAGGUAUGUGCUCUUCAUGCAUCGACAGCAAGCAAUAAAGAUCAAGCUGUUUCCGGGACAUCUCAAGAAGAAGCCUGGAAUGGAUAGAGUUCACCAGGCUAAUUCCUGCAGACACAACCAGAUCAGUUUAACAGGAAUUACCGGUGGAACUAAAUGUUGACCUGCAAGCAUCCAAGAAUAUACCUCGAAACUGCACGAUAUAUUCUGACCUAGAAAAACCAGUUUUUUUAUUUCAUUCAAGAAGCUUCCAGUUGAUUGGGAUGAUAGAAACCCCACUCUAGAGUGGGUUCAACUUCUUUACCGAUUGCCAUUAAGCCAGAGCUUCAUCCACUUCCGUCGAAAUACCGGGUCUCCAGAAAUGGAAGUCUCCCCCCAGUGGGCCGCCACCGUUCAUUCGGGAAGAGUUCCAACAUAGAUCGGCACUUGCCGAUCAUUUACCAUUUGUCGUGGUUCGUGGCGAAGCAUUGCGAAUAAUUUUGUAAUAAAUAAAUGAAGCAUUGCGAAUAAUUUUGUAAUAAAUAAAUGUUAUUUAUCCAA